GAUCCUGGCUCAGGAUGAACGCUAGCUACAGGCUUAACACAUGCAAGUCGAGGGGAAACGACAGUAAAGCUUGCUUUAUUGGGCGUCGACCGGCGCACGGGUGCGUAACGCGUAUCCAACCUGCCCCCAACUCCGGAAUAGUCCCCCGAAAGGGGGGUUAACGCCGGAUGCUGCAAUUUUUCCGCAUGGUGAAAUUGCGAAAUGAAAAAGGUUGGGGCUGGGGAUGCGUCCCAUUAGGUAGUAGGCGGGGUAACGGCCCACCUAGCCGACGAUGGG
RNAcentral lists this ribosomal RNA (276 nucleotides) under uncultured bacterium. RNAcentral's name for it is "partial 16S ribosomal RNA". It matches the Rfam family "Bacterial small subunit ribosomal RNA", at positions 15 to 283 of the family's 1533-position model. The record is from RNAcentral.